GACGAACGCUGGCGGCGUGCCUAAUACAUGCAAGUUGAGCGGUGAAGCUUUGUGCUUGCACCCAUUUGAAGAGCAGCGAACGGGUGAGUAACGCGUGGGUCAUCUUCUUUUGAUCGGUGGACAACAUCUGGAGACGAAUUCUACUACUACCUAAUAACUUUAACCAUAAGUUUCAAGUUUUCAACAUGCCUUUGCAUCACUCAAAGAUGAUCCCGCGUUGUAUUAGGUAGUUGGUGAGGUAAAGGCUCACCAAGGCGAAGAUACAUAGCCGACCUGAGAGGGAGAUCGGCCAAAAUGGGACUGAGACACGGCCCAAACUCCUACGGGAAGCAGCAAGAGGGAAAUAUCGGAAAUGGGGGGAAGUCUGACCCAAGAAAGACGGGUGAGUGGAGAAAGGUCUCCGAUCGGAAAACCCUGUUGGUAGAGAAAGAAAAGGGGGAGGGUGGAAAGCUCAUGUAGUGACGGUAACUAAAGAAUAAGCGACGGCUAACUACGUG
RNAcentral lists this ribosomal RNA (497 nucleotides) under uncultured bacterium. Its description in RNAcentral is "partial 16S ribosomal RNA". It matches the Rfam family "Bacterial small subunit ribosomal RNA", at positions 28 to 507 of the family's 1533-position model. The record is from RNAcentral.